CCUACGGGAGGCAGCAGUGGGGAAUCUUGCGCAAUGGGCGAAAGCCUGACGCAGCCAUGCCGCGUGAAUGAUGAAGGUCUUAGGAUUGUAAAAUUCUUUCACCGGGGACGAUAAUGACGGUACCCGGAGAAGAAGCCCCGGCUAACUUCGUGCCAGCAGCCGCGGUAAUACGAAGGGGGGCUAGCGUUGCUCGGAAUUACUGGGCGUAAAGGGAGCGUAGGCGGAUAGUUUAGUCAGAGGUGAAAGCCCAGGGCUCAACCUUGGAAUUGCCUUUGAUACUGGCUAUCUUGAGUAUGGGAGAGGUUAGCGGAACUCCGAGUGUAGAGGUGAAAUUCGUAGAUAUUCGGAAGAACACCAGUGGCGAAGGCGGCUAACUGGCCCAUUACUGACGCUGAGGCUCGAAAGCGUGGGGAGCAAACAGGAUUAGAUACCCUGGUAGUCCACGCCGUAAACGAUGAGUGCUAGUCGUCGGCAUGCAUGCAUGUCGGUGACGCAGCUACGACAUAAGACACUCCGCCGUCGGGGAGGUACGGUCGGCGAAGAAGUUAAACGUUAAAGUUAGUAAGUUAGUUACGGUCGUUGAGACGUUGCCGACGGCGACGACGAGGGGAGGAGG
Molecule: ribosomal RNA, 616 nt
Filed under: uncultured bacterium
Lineage: Bacteria
Description: bacterial SSU rRNA
Rfam family: Bacterial small subunit ribosomal RNA (bases 1-518)
Source: RNAcentral